GAUCCUGGCUCAGGAUGAACGCUGGCGGCGUGCUUAACACAUGCAAGUCGAACGAAGGCACCUUGAUUUGAUUCUUCGGAUGAAGAUCCUGGUGACUGAGUGGCGGACGGGUGAGUAACGCGUGGGUAACCUGCCUCAUUACAAGGGGAUAACAGUUAGAAAUGACUGCUAAUACCGCAUAAGACCACAAGCACCGCAUGGUGGCNGGGGUAAAAACUCCGGUGGUAUGAGAUGGACCCGCG
This 242-nucleotide ribosomal RNA is filed under the name uncultured bacterium. RNAcentral describes it as "partial 16S ribosomal RNA". It matches the Rfam family "Bacterial small subunit ribosomal RNA", at positions 15 to 235 of the family's 1533-position model. The record is from RNAcentral.